This 802-nucleotide ribosomal RNA is filed under the name uncultured bacterium. Its description in RNAcentral is "bacterial SSU rRNA". It matches the Rfam family "Bacterial small subunit ribosomal RNA", at positions 8 to 809 of the family's 1533-position model. The record is from RNAcentral.
AGAGUUUGAUCCUGGCUCAGGAUGAACGCUGGCGGCGUGCUUAACACAUGCAAGUCGAACGGGGAUUAUUUUGACAGAGACUUCGGUUGAAGUCGUUAUAAUCCUAGUGGCGGACGGGUGAGUAACGCGUGGGUAACCUGCCUCACACUGGGGGAUAACAGUCAGAAAUGACUGCUAAUACCGCAUAAGCGCACGGGGCCGCAUGGCUCAGUGUGAAAAACUCCGGUGGUGUGAGAUGGACCCGCGUUGGAUUAGCCAGUUGGCAGGGUAACGGCCUACCAAAGCGACGAUCCAUAGCCGGCCUGAGAGGGUGGACGGCCACAUUGGGACUGAGACACGGCCCAGACUCCUACGGGAGGCAGCAGUGGGGAAUAUUGCACAAUGGGGGAAACCCUGAUGCAGCGACGCCGCGUGAAGGAAGAAGUAUCUCGGUAUGUAAACUUCUAUCAGCAGGGAAGAAAAUGACGGUACCUGACUAAGAAGCCCCGGCUAACUACGUGCCAGCAGCCGCGGUAAUACGUAGGGGGCAAGCGUUAUCCGGAUUUACUGGGUGUAAAGGGAGCGUAGACGGAGCAGCAAGUCUGAUGUGAAAGGCGGGGGCUCAACCCCUGGACUGCAUUGGAAACUGUUGAUCUUGAGUACCGGAGAGGUAAGCGGAAUUCCUAGUGUAGCGGUGAAAUGCGUAGAUAUUAGGAGGAACACCAGUGGCGAAGGCGGCUUACUGGACGGUAACUGACGUUGAGGCUCGAAAGCGUGGGGAGCGAACAGGAAUAGAUACCCUGGUAGUCCACGCCGUAAACGA